RNAcentral lists this ribosomal RNA (253 nucleotides) under uncultured bacterium. Its description in RNAcentral is "partial 16S ribosomal RNA". It matches the Rfam family "Bacterial small subunit ribosomal RNA", at positions 524 to 776 of the family's 1533-position model. The record is from RNAcentral.
UACGUAGGGGGCUAGCGUUGUCCGGAAUCAUUGGGCGUAAAGCGCGUGUAGGCGGCCCGGUAAGUCCGCUGUGAAAGUCCAGGGCUCAACCCUGGGACGCCGGUGGAUACUGUCGGGCUCGAGUCCGGAAGAGGCGAGUGGAAUUCCUGGUGUAGCGGUGAAAUGCGCAGAUAUCAGGAGGAACACCAAUGGCGAAGGCAGCUCGCUGGGACGUGACUGACGCUGAGACGCGAAAGCGUGGGGAGCAAACAGG